UUGACCUCAAAUCAGGUAGGACUACCCGCUGAACUUAAGCAUAUCAAUAAGCGGAGGAAAAGAAACUAACAAGGAUUCCCCUAGUAACUGCGAGUGAAGCGGGAAAAGCUCAAAUUUGAAAUCUGAUGGUUUUUGACCGUCCGAGUUGUAAUCUAGAGAAGUGUUUACCCGUGCUGGACUGUGUACAAGUCUCCUGGAAUGGGGCAUCGUAGAGGGUGAGAAUCCCGUCUUUGACACGGACUGCCAGUGCACUAUGGGUGUGCUCUCGAAGAGUCGAGUUGUUUGGGAAUGCAGCUCAAAAUGGGUGGUAAAUGCCAUCUAAAGCUAAAUAUUGGCGAGAGACCGAUAGCGAACAAGUACCGUGAGGGAAAGAUGAAAAGAACUUUGGAAAGAGAGUUAAACAGUACGUGAAAUUGCUGAAAGGGAAACGCUUGAAGUCAGUCGCGUUGGCCAGAAAUCAGCCUUGCUUUUGCUUGGUGUAUUUUCUUGUCUUUACGGGUCAGCAUCAAUCUUGACCAUUGGAUAAGGUCUGUGGGAAUGUGGCAUCUUUGGAUGUGUUAUAGCCCAUGGUCGCAUACGGUGGUUGGGAUUGAGGAACUCAGCACGCCCGCGAGGGACGGGUUUUGACCACGUUUUCGUGCUUAGGAUGCUGGCAUAAUGGCUUUAAUCGACCCGUC
RNAcentral lists this ribosomal RNA (677 nucleotides) under Inocybe praetervisa. Its description in RNAcentral is "eukaryotic LSU rRNA". It matches the Rfam family "Eukaryotic large subunit ribosomal RNA", at positions 1 to 653 of the family's 3401-position model. The record is from RNAcentral. Lineage: Eukaryota; Fungi; Basidiomycota; Agaricomycetes; Agaricales; Inocybaceae.